CGGGAAGCCACCUGGUGACAGGGAGCGGAACCCGAAAGCCUGUCUCAGUUCGGAUUGGAGUCUGCAACUCGACUCCAUGAAGCUGGAUUCGCUAGUAAUCGCGCAUCAGCCAUGGCGCGGUGAAUACGUUCCCGGGCCUUGUACACACCGCCCGUCAAGCCAUGGGAGCCGGGGGUGCCUGAAGUACGUGACCGCGAGGAGCGUCCUAGGGCAAAACUGGUGACUGGGGCUAAGUCGUAACAAGGUAAC
Molecule: ribosomal RNA, 249 nt
Filed under: uncultured bacterium
Lineage: Bacteria
Description: partial 16S ribosomal RNA
Rfam family: Bacterial small subunit ribosomal RNA
Source: RNAcentral